RNAcentral lists this ribosomal RNA (638 nucleotides) under uncultured bacterium. Its description in RNAcentral is "bacterial SSU rRNA". It matches the Rfam family "Bacterial small subunit ribosomal RNA", at positions 88 to 713 of the family's 1533-position model. The record is from RNAcentral.
AAGAUGAGUGGCGAACGGGUGAGUAAUACAUAGGUAACCUGUCCCUGUGCGGGGGAUAACAGGAGGAAACUCCUGCUAAUACCGCAUAGCCAUGAGCACCGCAUGGAGCUCAUGCCAAAUAUCCUUCAGGGGAUAGCGCAGGGAUGGACCUAUGGCGCAUUAGCUAGUUGGCGGGGCAACGGCCCACCAAGGCAACGAUGCGUAGCCGGCCUGAGAGGGCGGACGGCCACAUUGGGACUGAGACACGGCCCAGACUCCUACGGGAGGCAGCAGUAGGGAAUUUUCGGCAAUGGGGGAAACCCUGACCGAGCAACGCCGCGUGAGCGAAGAAGGCCUUCGGGUCGUAAAGCUCUGUUGUAAAGGAAGAACGUCGCAUGCAGGAAAUGGUGUGCGAGUGACGGUACUUUACCAGAAAGCCACGGCUAACUACGUGCCAGCAGCCGCGGUAAUACGUAGGUGGCGAGCGUUAUCCGGAAUCAUUGGGCGUAAAGAGGGAGCAGGCGGCCGCAAGGGUCUGUGGUGAAAGACCGAAGCUAAACUUCGGUAAGCCAUGGAAACCGGGCGGCUAGAGUGCGGAAGAGGAUCGUGGAAUUCCAUGUGUAGCGGUGAAAUGCGUAGAUAUAUGGAGGAACACCAGU